Long non-coding RNA from Callithrix jacchus (white-tufted-ear marmoset), 507 nucleotides. NCBI's taxonomy places the organism in Eukaryota, Metazoa, Chordata, Mammalia, Primates, Cebidae. The record is from Ensembl.
AUUUAUUCAUAUAAUUGAGCACUGAGAGAAAAAGGUAAAGAGAAUAUUCCAAUAUUAAAAAGAUUAUUGGGCAUAAAGUCUGAGUUGAAAUUGGCUUCCAGUGACUUGAAGUGUGAGAAAAAGGUAAAUUGCUGUUACACCAUAGGGGAAAGGAAGAACAUGUUUGCCAUGUAUGUGACCCACUGGAGCAUAUAUUAGUAUUUUAGUACUUCCCUGCCCAAAGUUCUAUAUGAAUUUAUCUUCCUAUUUCCAGAUUGUGAUUCCUGGGGACUCUAGCCUACAACAGUUGGUACCAGGAAUAAUUCCAGAAGGCAGAUUCAAAAAUGGGAUUUGCAAGCUGGAUUGCCAGCCACUCAGCUAAUGAUGAAGGCCACCUCACUAGCAGGGGGAAUACUGACAGCACAUGAUUCUAGAAGAGCAGGAAAAGCUGGUUUAUCAAGUCUUGUCAUCAUUAUAAAACUACAGAGACAGCACAGUUCCAGAACAAACAUUCUCCAAAAUCUCUAA